AUGUAUGGAGUUUUACAGAGGGUAUUACAGGUUGGUAUCAGAGUAUAUUUAUUUUAUAUAUAUUUAAAAAAAUAAUAGCAGAAUUUUCGGGUUGUUACACCCAAACCCCUCGUGCCCAAGGUCUCUAUGUCAGUGUGUAUCGCCGUUAAUCUUUGAUCUCACCGUUCUUCGAUUGCAAGGACUUGCUGCUAAUUUUUGUGCUCAGAGUUUCAAGAAGAUUGGAGAAUCUCCCAUUUGCUCGCUACACUCCCAUCCCUCUCUAUCUCUCUCUUUCUCUUCUACUUGCUGUGAAAUCUGAUUUGCAGAGAAGGUGUUUGAUGGAAUGACUCAAAGAGAUGCGGCUUCUUGGAGCUCGAUGAUUGCAGGGAAUUCAAUGAGGAACCUCUUCAGGGGCAAUAUCGCUUGAAGGUAAUUUCAUGGUUUUCACUUUGUGCCUGAGAUCGUUGUUGGAGUGCCAAAAGAACCUGAAGAAGCCACUGCAGAAGCACUUCAAAAAUUCUCUGCUGCUGGUCUGCACAGCGCUCACUGAUUGGGAGAUGGCUCUGGGGCCAACCCAUUUGAGUUUCAAAGCUUAGCUUUAUGUUUUGACGGGCAGUGCAGCUAUCAUGUUUGCCGACCCCACUUUGCAAUUUUAAAAUAUAAAUUUGGUUAUGGAGAUGGUGUCGGUUCAUGAAGUUCAAUUUGAGUUGAGUGCAUAUGGGCACUACAGUGAUGAGUACUAAAGUGAUGGCAGUAGUUGGGUUUGAUGUAGCCAUGUUGAUCGUGGUUAAUUUGAUCUUGUUGCUGUUU
This is a long non-coding RNA of Malania oleifera, 789 nucleotides long. RefSeq lists it as uncharacterized. The record is from RefSeq and is a predicted model, not a curated record. Lineage: Eukaryota; Viridiplantae; Streptophyta; Magnoliopsida; Santalales; Ximeniaceae. The transcript has 2 exons.